Molecule: small nuclear RNA, 21 nt
Filed under: Arabidopsis thaliana (thale cress)
Lineage: Eukaryota; Viridiplantae; Streptophyta; Magnoliopsida; Brassicales; Brassicaceae
Description: snRNA_06830
Source: RNAcentral
UUUACGUUUUUGGCGGAAAAC